UAAAGCGUGCGCAGGCGGCUUGCAAGACAGAGGUGAAAUCCCCGGGCUCAACCUGGGAACUGCCUUUGUGACUGCAAGGCUAGAGUACGGCAGAGGGAGAUGGAAUUCCGCGUGUAGCAGUGAAAUGCGUAGAUAUGCGGAGGAACACCGAUGGCGAAGGCAAUCUCCUGGGUCAAAACUGACGCUCAUGCACGAAAGCGUGGGGAGCAAACAGGAUUAGAUACCCCAGU
This 230-nucleotide ribosomal RNA is filed under the name uncultured bacterium. Its description in RNAcentral is "partial 16S ribosomal RNA". It matches the Rfam family "Bacterial small subunit ribosomal RNA", at positions 561 to 791 of the family's 1533-position model. The record is from RNAcentral.